Molecule: small RNA, 403 nt
Filed under: Pan troglodytes (chimpanzee)
Lineage: Eukaryota; Metazoa; Chordata; Mammalia; Primates; Hominidae
Description: retained intron
Source: RNAcentral
UGCAAUGCCUAAAAACACUACCAGCCAUCUGAAAAACAUGUGACUUCUAACUUCUGUUCUUUUUUGUAGCAGUGGAAUCCCACGGUGAUAUCUGAGGGAUGUGGUUACCUUUUGGAGGAGGUUGACGGUUUCUAAGGAUGAUUCUUUCUGAGUGAAAUAUUGUCGGUGUCAUUGACCUUUUCAUUAUUUCAACUAUUAUUAUUCCAGGUUAUCAAUACUCUGGCUGACCAUCAUCAUCCUGGGACUGACUUUGGUGGAAGUCCUUGGUUAGGUAUCAUUAUUGAAUUUCCGAGAAGUUAUAAAGUUGUCAUUACCCUCUGGACAGUUUACCUUUGGGUGAGUAUACUAACUUUCUGUAGAGGUAUACUUGUAAUCACAAAUAAGAAUAAAUUAUAUAAAACAA